Molecule: transfer RNA, 73 nt
Filed under: Rhipicephalus sanguineus (brown dog tick)
Lineage: Eukaryota; Metazoa; Arthropoda; Arachnida; Ixodida; Ixodidae
Description: transfer RNA methionine (anticodon CAU)
Rfam family: tRNA
About the family: Transfer RNA (tRNA) molecules are approximately 80 nucleotides in length. Their secondary structure includes four short double-helical elements and three loops (D, anti-codon, and T loops).
Source: Rfam by way of RNAcentral
GCCGCGGUAGCUCAGUUGGUAGAGCAUCGAACGCAUUAUUCGAAGGUCGCAGGUUCAGUCCCUGCCCGCGGCA